UACGUAGGGGGCAAGCGUUGUCCGGAAUCAUUGGGCGUAAAGAGCGCGUAGGCGGUCCGGUAAGUCCGCUCUGAAAGCCCGGGGCUCAACCCCGGGAGGCGGGCGGAUACUGUCGGGCUAGAGUCCGGAAGAGGCGAGUGGAAUUCCUGGUGUAGCGGUGAAAUGCGCAGAUAUCGGGAGGAACACCAGUGGCGAAGGCGGCCGGCUGGGGGUGACCUGACGCUGAGGCGCGAAAGCGUGGGGAGCGAACCGG
RNAcentral lists this ribosomal RNA (253 nucleotides) under uncultured bacterium. Its description in RNAcentral is "partial 16S ribosomal RNA". It matches the Rfam family "Bacterial small subunit ribosomal RNA", at positions 524 to 776 of the family's 1533-position model. The record is from RNAcentral.